Molecule: long non-coding RNA, 2306 nt
Organism: Coregonus clupeaformis (lake whitefish)
Lineage: Eukaryota; Metazoa; Chordata; Actinopteri; Salmoniformes; Salmonidae
Exons: 3
Source: RefSeq, a predicted model, not a curated record
AACAUGACAGUGUUUCAAACACGCCACAACACAACCUGCUCUGCAUGGGACAUUGUUACUGUAAUUUUUUUUUAUAUAAUUGAUCCGAUGACCCUCUUGUAGGACUAGGGUUAUGGGUUAGGGUUAUGGGUUAGGGUCAGGGGUUAAAGGUUAUGGUCUGACCUCCGUGGCUGAUGACCCUCUUGUAGGACUAGGGUUAUGGGUUAGGGUCAGGGGUUAAAGGUUAUGGUCUGACCUCCGUGGCUGAUGACCCUCUUGUAGGACUAGGGUUAUGGGUUAGGGUCAGGGGUUAAAGGUUAUGGUCUGACCUCCGCGGCUGAUGACCCUCUUGUAGGACUAGGGUUAUGGGUUAGGGUUAUGGGUUAAAGGUUAUGGUCUGACCUCCGCGGCUGAUGACCCUCUUGUAGGACUAGGGUUAUGGGUUAGGGUCAGGGGUUAAAGGUUAUGGUCUGACCUCCGCGGCUGAUGACCCUCUUGUAGGACUAGGGUUAUGGGUUAGGGUUAUGGGUUAGGGUCAGGGGUUAAAGGUUAUGGUCUGACCUCCGUGGCUGAUGAUCCUCUUGUAGGACUAGGGUUAUGGGUUAGGGUCAGGGGUUAAAGGUUAUGGUCUGACCUUCGCGGCUGAUGACCCUCUUGUAGGACUAGGGUUAUGGGUUAGGGUCAGGGGUUAAAGGUUAUGGUCUGACCUCCGCGGCUGAUGACCCUCUUGUAGGACUAGGGUUAUGGGUUAGGGGUUAAAGGUUAUGGUCUGACCUCCGUGGCUGAUGACCCUCUUGUAGGACUAGGGUUAUGGGUUAGGGGUUAAAGGUUAUGGUCUGACCUCCGUGGCUGAUGACCCUCUUGUAGGACUAGGGUUAUGGGUUAGGGUCAGGGGUUAAAGGUUAUGGUCUGACCUCCGCGGCUGAUGACCCUCUUGUAGGACUAGGGUUAUGGGUUAGGGGUUAAAGGUUAUGGUCUGACCUCCGUGGCUGAUGACCCUCUUGUAGGACUAGGGUUAUGGGUUAGGGUUAGGGGUUAAAGGUUAUGGUCUGACCUCCGUGGCUGAUGACCCUCUUGUAGGACUAGGGUUAUGGGUUAGGGUUAGGGGUUAAAGGUUAUGGUCUGACCUCCGUGGCUGAUGACCCUCUUGUAGGACUAGGGUUAUGGGUUAGGGUCAGGGGUUAAAGGUUAUGGUCUGACCUCCGCGGCUGAUGACCCUCUUGUAGGACUAGGGUUAUGGGUUAGGGGUUAAAGGUUAUGGUCUGACCUCCGUGGCUGAUGACCUUCUUGUAGGACUAGGGUUAUGGGUUAGGGGUUAAAGGUUAUGGUCUGACCUCCGUGGCUGAUGACCUUCUUGUAGGACUAGGGUUAUGGGUUAGGGGUUAAAGGUUAUGGUCUGACCUCCGUGGCUGAUGACCUUCUUGUAGGACUAGGGUUAUGGGUUAGGGGUUAAAGGUUAUGGUCUGACCUCCGCGGCUGAUGACCCUCUUGUAGGACUAGGGUUAUGGGUUAGGGGUUAAAGGUUAUGGUCUGACCUCCGUGGCUGAUGACCUUCUUGUAGGACUAGGGUUAUGGGUUAGGGGUUAAAGGUUAUGGUCUGACCUCCGCGGCUGAUGACCCUCUUGUAGGACUAGGGUUAUGGGUUAGGGUUAUGGGUUAGGGUCAGGGGUUAAAGGUUAUGGUCUGACCUCCGUGGCUGAUGACCCUCUUGUAGGACUAGGGUUAUGGUUAGGGUCAGGGGUUAAAGGUUAUGGUCUGACCUCCGCGGCUGAUGACCCUCUUGUAGGACUAGGGUUAUGGGUUAGGGUCAGGGGUUAAAGGUUAUGGUCUGACCUCCGUGGCUGAUGACCCUCUUGUAGGACUAGGGUUAUGGGUUAGGGUUAUGGUUAGGGUCAGGGGUUAAAGGUUAUGGUCUGACCUCCGUGGCUGAUGAUCCUCUUGUAGGACUAGGGUUAUGGGUUAGGGUCAGGGGUUAGGGUCAGGGGUUAAAGGUUAUGGUCUGACCUCCGCGGCUGAUGACCCUCUUGUAGGACUAGGGUUAUGGGUUAGGGUUAUGGGUUAGGGUCAGGGGUUAAAGGUUAUGGUCUGACCUCCGCGGCUGAUGACCCUCUUGUAGGACUAGGGUUAUGGGUUAGGGUUAUGGUUAGGGUCAGGGGUUAAAGGUUAUGGUCUGACCUCCGUGGCUGAUGACCCUCUUGUAGGACUAGGGUUAUGGGUUAGGGUUAUGGUUAGGGUCAGGGGUUAAAGGUUAUGGUCUGACCUCCGCGGCUGAUGACCCUCUUGUAGGACUAGGGUUAUGGGUUAGGGUCAGGGGUUAAAGGUUAUGG